GGCGCUUUGACGGAGUGGUUAACGUGCUGCCCUGCUACAUAUGUAUUGUACCUAGCAGCAAAUCAAGGCAGUUCCUUCGGGAGCGCAGGUUCGAAUCCUGCAGGCGUCG
Schizothecium vesticola is the source of this 109-nucleotide non-coding RNA. The record is from the annotation of a GenBank genome assembly. NCBI's taxonomy places the organism in Eukaryota, Fungi, Ascomycota, Sordariomycetes, Sordariales, Schizotheciaceae.